RNAcentral lists this ribosomal RNA (564 nucleotides) under Triticum aestivum (bread wheat). Its description in RNAcentral is "partial small subunit ribosomal RNA". The record is from RNAcentral. Lineage: Eukaryota; Viridiplantae; Streptophyta; Magnoliopsida; Poales; Poaceae.
AUGGCUGCUCCGCCGCGGCGAAACCCCAACCACGGCGGCAAGAGGAAGGAUGAGGAGCCGUGGCUCGCGGCGGGCAUCCGCCCGGCCAACUUCCUCCCGGGCCUGGCCAUCGGGUUCCUCCUCGGCCUCUCCUCCUCCUGGAGGCCGAGGAUCAGCCUCCCGUCUGCCCCGGCGCCACGGGGCUCCAAGCGGGCCGCCGUCGGUUCGUCCGCCGCCCCAGCACCAGGCGAAGAGCUCAAGAUGGUUUUAGUUGUGCGUCAGGAUCUUAAGAUGGGGGCUGGGAAAAUAGCGUCUCAAUGUGCCCAUGCGGCAACUGGCUUGUACGCGGAUCUGUUGGCAAGCAACCGAGUUCUUUUGAGACAAUGGGAACAGUUCGGACCAUGCAAGAAUCAACAGGAAAUGAACAGGAUAAAGGAAACUGCAGAACACCGAGGUAUCCCAACUUUUGUUGUUGCAGAUGCAGGUCGCACACAGGUACUGGCUGGGUCUAAGACAGUUCUUGCAGUAGGGCCAGGGAGGAAAGCAGACAUAGAUUCAGUUACUGGGAAAUUGCGCUUACUGUGA